RNAcentral lists this ribosomal RNA (801 nucleotides) under uncultured bacterium. Its description in RNAcentral is "bacterial SSU rRNA". It matches the Rfam family "Bacterial small subunit ribosomal RNA", at positions 46 to 832 of the family's 1533-position model. The record is from RNAcentral.
GGAUUAGGCAUGCAAGUCGAGCGAGAAAGCCCCUUCGGGGGUGAGUAAAGCGGCGAAAGGGUGAGUAAUACAUGGACAAUCUACCCUCGAGACCGGGACAACCACUCUAACGGGUGGCUAAUACCGGAUGGCGCCACGAGGCCUCCUGACCUCGUGGCUAAAGGUGGGAUACUGCCGCUCGAGGAGGAGUCCAUGUCCUAUUAGCUUGUUGGUGAGGUAACGGCUCACCAAGGCUCUGAUGGGUAGCCGGACUGAGAGGUUGGUCGGUCACACUGGAACUGAGACACUGUCCAGACUCCUGCGGGAAGCUGCAGUCGAGAAUCUUCCGCAAUGGGCGAAAGCCUGACGAAGCGACGCCGCGUGGGGGAUGAAGGCCUUCGGGUCGUAAACCUCUGUCAGGGGUUAGGAAAUCCGGUGCGGUUAAUACCCGUGCCGGUUGACAAAGGCCCCAGAGUGAAGCACUGGCUAACUACGUGCCAGCAGCCGCGGUAAUACGUAGAGUGCAAACGUUGUUCGGAAUUACUGGGCAUAAAGGGCCCGUAGGUGGUGCGGAAAGUCGGUUGUGAAAGCCCCUGGCUCAACCAGGGAAUUGCAGCCGAAACUGCCGCGCUAGAGUGUGAGAGGGGAGAGUGGAACUUCCAGUGGAGCGGUGAAAUGCGUAGAUAUUGGAAGGAACGCCGGUGGCGAAAGCGACUCUCUGGCUCACUACUGACACUGAUGGGCGAAAGCUAGGGUAGCGAACGGGAUUAGAUACCCCGGUAGUCCUAGCCGUAAACGAUGGGCACUAAGUAGAGGGGUUUU